This 253-nucleotide ribosomal RNA is filed under the name uncultured bacterium. RNAcentral describes it as "partial 16S ribosomal RNA". It matches the Rfam family "Bacterial small subunit ribosomal RNA", at positions 524 to 776 of the family's 1533-position model. The record is from RNAcentral.
UACGUAGGGGGCAAGCGUUGUCCGGAAUCAUUGGGCGUAAAGAGCGUGUAGGCGGUUCGGUAAGUCCGCUGUAAAAGUCCAGGGCUCAACCCUGGAAAGCCGGUGGAAACUGUCGAACUAGAGUCCGGAAGAGGCGAGUGGAAUUCCUGGUGUAGCGGUGAAAUGCGCAGAUAUCAGGAGGAACACCGGUGGCGAAGGCGGGUCUCUGGACCGAUACUGACGCUGAGGAGCGAAAGCGUGGGGAGCGAACAGG